UCGAAGUUGUUUGAGCUGGUGUUGGU
Molecule: small RNA, 26 nt
Filed under: Bombyx mori (domestic silkworm)
Lineage: Eukaryota; Metazoa; Arthropoda; Insecta; Lepidoptera; Bombycidae
Description: ovarian small RNA-28237
Source: RNAcentral